UCAGCUGAUCAGUUGUUUGCUUCUGUCUGAUUUCUUUUGGAGUCGUAAGAGGCCAUUUUGCCUAGUAAAGUUUCUGAUUCUGACAGCUCUUAAUCUGGUACGCUAUUUGUGUCGUUUAUUGUGUGUGUCCACUUGAUUCUGCUCUGCAUUCAGAGUGUGUUAAUUGAUGCGUGAUCUCUAUUGAGUCACCCCUGGUAUUUCUGGUCAUAGCCCACUCCUAAUUGUGGACCCUGGGCACCAGUUGAAAGGUGUAAUAUAGUUGUAUUACUCGUUGGCCCUAGCAUUGUACUUCUUGGUUUCAUUGGUGAUCGUAGCAGGACCUGCUGCAAGAAGAAAGACAAUGACAAGGGGCAAGAAGAAGGCUGCUCAAGCUCAUCCUAAACCUGACGAAGACACAAUUGCAGGAAGAAGGAAGAAUUGAAACGUCCAGUCCAUUUAUCAA
RNAcentral lists this long non-coding RNA (442 nucleotides) under Daphnia magna. RNAcentral describes it as "uncharacterized LOC116922730". The record is from RNAcentral. Lineage: Eukaryota; Metazoa; Arthropoda; Branchiopoda; Diplostraca; Daphniidae.